UCUCCAGUGGCGCAGUUGGUUAGCGCAUGGUACUUAAAAUGCCGAGGUCGCGAGUUCGAGCCUCGGCUGGAGAA
This 74-nucleotide transfer RNA is filed under the name Daphnia magna. RNAcentral describes it as "tRNA-Leu". It matches the Rfam family "tRNA". Rfam says of the family: Transfer RNA (tRNA) molecules are approximately 80 nucleotides in length. Their secondary structure includes four short double-helical elements and three loops (D, anti-codon, and T loops). Lineage: Eukaryota; Metazoa; Arthropoda; Branchiopoda; Diplostraca; Daphniidae. The record is from RNAcentral.